GAUCCUGGCUCAGGAUGAACGCUAGCGGCAGGCUUAACACAUGCAAGUCGAGGGGCAGCGGGAUGUAGCAAUACAUUGCCGGCGACCGGCGGAUGGGUGCGUAACGCGUAUGCAACCUACCUUAUACAGGGGAAUAACCUUUCGAAAGGGAGACUAACACCCCAUAGUAUUGAUUUAAGGCAUCUUAGAUUAAUUAAAUAUUUAUAGGUAUAAGAUGGGCAUGCGUAUGAUUAGCUAGUUGGUAAGGUAACGGCUUACCAAGGCGACGAUCAUUAGGGGUUCUGAGAGGAAGGUCCCCCACACUGGUACUGAGACACGGACCAGACUCCUACGGGAGGCAGCAGUGAGGAAUAUUGGUCAAUGGGCGCAAGCCUGAACCAGCCAUGCCGCGUGCAGGAAGACGGCCUUAUGGGUUGUAAACUGCUUUUACAUAAGACUAACCGUAUAUUUGCGAAUAUACCUGAAUGUAUUAUGAGAAUAAGGAUCGGCUAACUCCGUGCCAGCCGCCGC
RNAcentral lists this ribosomal RNA (510 nucleotides) under uncultured bacterium. RNAcentral's name for it is "bacterial SSU rRNA". It matches the Rfam family "Bacterial small subunit ribosomal RNA", at positions 15 to 518 of the family's 1533-position model. The record is from RNAcentral.